This is a non-coding RNA of Chiloscyllium plagiosum (whitespotted bambooshark), 709 nucleotides long. The record is from RefSeq and is a predicted model, not a curated record. NCBI's taxonomy places the organism in Eukaryota, Metazoa, Chordata, Chondrichthyes, Orectolobiformes, Hemiscylliidae.
GACCCGUGUAAACCACGUGAUCGUGCACGCGGAAAAGCAGUGUUUGACCAAGGCGCGAGAAUGUGAGAUACUGGUGAUCAUUGCCAAAGUCGUGUUGCCUGUGGAGAAGUUGAUGUUUGAUCAUCUUGUACUGCUUCAGUUCGUGUGGUGAAGGUGCUCCCAUGAUUCAGCUGCUGCGCACUUUUACUGUUGGAGCUGAUGCAUGUGCUACUACAAUGCGGUAGUUCAUUGAAAGAAGGCCUUUCCUAAUAGGAGAGAGGAAGAAUCCAGUGACAUAAUUAGAAUCCAUCAAGACUAACAUCAAUGGCAUUCACUCGACAAACAGGUCCAGUUUAGCGCCUCUCAAUACAGCACCUUCAGUUCACAGUGAUAAGUAGAUUGGAUUGGUUGUUGACAUCGCUGGCUACUGUUCUUAUCUCACCUUGUCUACUGCUGUAACGAAGUCGGUGGUGAGGGCGAACGAUGGGUGUUUUCUUUUCGCAGGGUGGAUGGAACUAUAUCACAAAAUGUUCUUCAGUUACUUUUUUUUCAAAUGAAUUAACAAAUAUCUCAUAGCAGGUCAUUUGCUGUAAAGCAGUAAUAUUAACUUUUUUUUUCUUCAGAUGAAAGCCAAACAUGUACCAUAUGUGCAAUAACCUUGUUCAUUAAAACCCAUGGAUUAUUGAGUACGAGACAGAAUGAAAUGACAUUGGCUAGGGGACAGAAAUGA